AAGUCGAGCGGAUUGAUGGGAGCUUGCUCCCUGAUAUCAGCGGCGGACGGGUGAGUAACACGUGGGUAACCUGCCUGUAAGACUGGGAUAACUCCGGGAAACCGGGGCUAAUACCGGAUAACUCAUUUCCUCGCAUGAGGAAAUGUUGAAAGGUGGCUUCUAGCUAUCACUUACAGAUGGACCCGCGGCGCAUUAGCUAGUUGGUGAGGUAACGGCUCACCAAGGCGACAAUGCGUAGCCGACCUGAAAGGGUGAUCGGCCACACUGGGACUGAAACACGGCCCAAACUCCUACGGGAGGCAGCAGUAGGGAAUCUUCCGCAAUGGACGAAAGUCUGACGGAGCAACGCCGCGUGAGUGAUGAAGGUUUUCGGAUCGUAAAGCUCUGUUGUUAGGGAAAAACAAGUGCCGUUCGAAUAGGGCGGCACCUUGACGGUACCUAACCAGAAAGCCACGGCUAACUACGUGCCAGCAGCCGCGGUAAUACGUAGGUGGCAAGCGUUGUCCGGAAUUAUUGGGCGUAAAGCGCGCGCAGGUGGUUUCUUAAGUCUGAUGUGAAAGCCCACGGCUCAACCGUGGAGGGUCAUUGGAAACUGGGGAACUUGAGUGCAGAAGAGGAAAGUGGAAUUCCAAGUGUAGCGGUGAAAUGCGUAAAUAUUUGGAGGAACACCAGUGGCGAAGGCGACUUUCUGGUCUGUAACUGACACUGAGGCGCGAAAGCGUGGGGAGCAAACAGGAUUAGAUACCCUGGUAGUCCACGCCGUAAACGAUGAGUGCUAAGUGUUAGGGGGUUUCCGCCCCUUAGUGCUGCAGCUAACGCAUUAAGCACUCCGCCUGGGGGAGUACGGUCGCAAGACUGAAACUCAAAGGAAUUGACGGGGCCCCGCACAGCGGUGUAGCAUGUGGUUAAUUCGAAGCACCGCGAGAACCUUACCAGGUCUGACUCUCUGACAACCCUAGAGAAGGCUUUCCCUUCGGGGACGAUGACAGUGAUGCAUGGUUGUCGUCGCUCGUGUCGUGAAAAUGUCGG
RNAcentral lists this ribosomal RNA (1029 nucleotides) under Rossellomorea vietnamensis. RNAcentral's name for it is "bacterial SSU rRNA". It matches the Rfam family "Bacterial small subunit ribosomal RNA", at positions 59 to 1078 of the family's 1533-position model. The record is from RNAcentral. Lineage: Bacteria; Bacillati; Bacillota; Bacilli; Caryophanales; Bacillaceae.